AGUAGUAAGAGAUCAGUUGGAUA
RNAcentral lists this microRNA (23 nucleotides) under Acyrthosiphon pisum (pea aphid). Its description in RNAcentral is "api-miR-3025". The record is from miRBase by way of RNAcentral. Lineage: Eukaryota; Metazoa; Arthropoda; Insecta; Hemiptera; Aphididae.